CGGGUAUUAGGUUUUGGGGCUAGGGUUAGGUUUAAGGUUUUUGGGGUUAGGGUUAAAAUAACUGUCCAAUAUAUUUAAAGGAACAUGUUUCAGACCUUUGGGAAAUAGUUAGACAAAAAAAAAAGAAAAAGAAAAAAAAUAUAUUUGGGGUGUUCGGGCUUCCUGAAGGUAAUACCCGGGUAUUAGGUUUUGGGGCUAGGGUAAGGUUUAAGGUUUUUGGCGUUAGGGUUAAAAUCACUGUCCAAAACCUUUGUAGGAAUGUUUUUCCGACCUUUUGGAGUUAGUUAGACCAAAAAAAAAAAAGAAUAAUAAAAAAUAUAUAUUUGGGGUGUUCGGGCUUCCUGAAGAAAAUACCCAGGUAAUAGGUUAUGGGGCAAGGGUAAGGUUUAAGGUUUUUGGCGUUAGGGUUAAAAUCACUGUCCAAAACCUUUUAGGAACAUGUUUCAGACCUUUUGGAGUUGGUAACACCAAAAAAAAUGUAAAAUGAAAAAAAAAUAUUUGGGGUGUUCGGGCUUCCUGAAGGUAAUACCCGGGUAUUUGGUUAUGGGGCUAUAGUAAGGUUUAAGGUUUUUGGCGUUAGGGUUAAAAUCACUGUCCAAAACCUUUGUAGGAACUAUUUUCCAACCUUUUGGAGUUAGUUAGACCAAAAAAAAACGAAAAAUGAAAAAAAAUAUUUGGGGUGUUCGGGCUAAAAUCACUGUCCAAAACCUUUUUAGGAACAUGUUUUAGACCUUUUGGAGUUGGUAACACCAAAAAAAAUGUAAAAUGAAAAAAAAAUAUUUGGGGUAUUCAAGCUUCCUGAAGUAUUAGGUUUUGGGGCUAGGGUUAGGUUUAAGGUUUUUGGCGUUAGGGUUAAAAUAACUGUCCAAUUUUUUUUAAGGAACAUGUUUCAGACCUUUGGGAGUUAGUUAGACAAAAAAAAAAAGAAAAAGAAAAAAAAUAUAUUUGGGGUGUUCGGGUUUCCUGAAGGUAAUACCCGGGUAUUAGGUUAUGGGGCUAGGGUAAGGUUUAAGGUUUUUGGCGUAAGGGUUAAAAUCACUGUCCAAAACCUUUUAGGAACAUGUUUCAGACCUUUUGGAGUUAGUUAGACCAAAAAAAAUUGUAAAAUGAAAAAAAAAUAUUUGGGGUGUUCAAGCUUCCUGAAGGUUAUUCCCGGGUAUUAGGUUUUGGGGCUAUAGUAAGGUUUAAGGUUUUUGGCGUUAGGGUUAAAAUCACUGUCCAAAACCUUUGUAGGAACUAUUUUCCAACCUUUUGGAGUUAGUUAGACAAAAAAAAAAAAAAAGAAAAAAAAAUUUGGGGUGUU
Xyrichtys novacula (pearly razorfish) is the source of this 1303-nucleotide non-coding RNA. The record is from the annotation of a GenBank genome assembly. Lineage: Eukaryota; Metazoa; Chordata; Actinopteri; Labriformes; Labridae.